AUUGAACGCUGGCGGCAGGCCUAACACAUGCCAGUCGAGCGGAUGAAGGGAGCUUGAUCCUGGAUUCAGCGGCGGACGGGUGAGUAAUGCCUAGGAAUCUGCCUGGUAGUGGGGGAUAACGUCCGGAAACGGGCGCUAAUACCGCAUACGUCCAGAGGGUGAAAGUGGGGGUUCUUCGGACAUCACGCUAUCAGAUGAGCCUAGGUCGGAUUAGCUAGUUGGUGGGGUAAAGGCCUACCAAGGCGACGAUCCGUAACUGGUCUGAGAGGAUGAUCAGUCACACUGGAACUGAGACACGGUCCAGACUCCUACGGGAGGCAGCAGUGGGGAAUAUUGGACAAUGGGCGAAAGCCUGAUCCAGCCAUGCCGCGUGUGUGAAGAAGGUCUUCGGAUUGUAAAGCACUUUAAGUUGGGAGGAAGGGCAGUAAGUUAAUACCUUGCUGUUUUGACGGUACCAACAGAAUAAGCACCGGCUAACUUCGUG
This 484-nucleotide ribosomal RNA is filed under the name uncultured bacterium. RNAcentral describes it as "partial 16S ribosomal RNA". It matches the Rfam family "Bacterial small subunit ribosomal RNA", at positions 30 to 507 of the family's 1533-position model. The record is from RNAcentral.